GGGUCGAUGGCGUAGUUGGUUAUCGCAUCUGUCUAACAUGUAGAGUUAUCCGACCCUUGCACACAGAAGGUCCUCAGUUCGAACCUGGGUCGACUCA
This 97-nucleotide transfer RNA is filed under the name Armillaria solidipes. Its description in RNAcentral is "tRNA-Val". The record is from RNAcentral. Lineage: Eukaryota; Fungi; Basidiomycota; Agaricomycetes; Agaricales; Physalacriaceae.